GGCCUAACACAUGCAAGUCGAGCGGAUGAAGGGAGCUUGCUCCUGGAUUCAGCGGCGGACGGGUGAGUAAUGCCUAGGAAUCUGCCUGGUAGUGGGGGAUAACGUUCCGAAAGGAACGCUAAUACCGCGUACGUCCUACGGGAGAAAGCAGGGGACCUUCGGGCCUUGCGCUAUCAGAUGAGCCUAGGUCGGAUUAGCUAGUUGGUGAGGUAAUGGCUCACCAAGGCGACGAUCCGUAACUGGUCUGAGAGGAUGAUCAGUCACACUGGAACUGAGACACGGUCCAGACUCCUACGGGAGGCAGCAG
This 307-nucleotide ribosomal RNA is filed under the name Aristerostoma sp. ATCC 50986. Its description in RNAcentral is "partial Bacterial small subunit ribosomal RNA". It matches the Rfam family "Bacterial small subunit ribosomal RNA", at positions 46 to 354 of the family's 1533-position model. The record is from RNAcentral. Lineage: Eukaryota; Ciliophora; Colpodea; Cyrtolophosidida; Cyrtolophosididae.